GAUGAACGCUGGCGGCGUGCUUAACACAUGCAAGUCGAACGGAAAGGCCCAAGCUUGCUUGGGUACUCGAGUGGCGAACGGGUGAGUAACACGUGGGUGAUCUGCCCUGCACUUCGGGAUAAGCCUGGGAAACUAGGUCUAAUACCGGAUAGGACGAUGGUUUGGAUGCCAUUGUGGAAAGUUUUUUCGGUGUGGGAUGAGCUCGCGGCCUAUCAGCUUGUUGGUGGGGUAAUGGCCUACCAAGGCGUCGACGGGUAGCCGGCCUGAGAGGGUGUACGGCCACAUUGGGACUGAGAUACGGCCCAGACUCCUACGGGAGGCAGCAGUGGGGAAUAUUGCACAAUGGGCGCAAGCCUGAUGCAGCGACGCCGCGUGGGGGAUGACGGCCUUCGGGUUGUAAACUCCUUUCGCUAGGGACGAAGCGUUUUUGUGACGGUACCUGGAGAAGAAGCACCGGCUAACUACGUG
This 468-nucleotide ribosomal RNA is filed under the name uncultured bacterium. RNAcentral's name for it is "partial 16S ribosomal RNA". It matches the Rfam family "Bacterial small subunit ribosomal RNA", at positions 28 to 507 of the family's 1533-position model. The record is from RNAcentral.